This 253-nucleotide long non-coding RNA is filed under the name Homo sapiens (human). Its description in RNAcentral is "non-protein coding lnc-R3HDM4-3:3". The record is from RNAcentral. Lineage: Eukaryota; Metazoa; Chordata; Mammalia; Primates; Hominidae.
AGCGGCCCCCGGGGGGGGGCAGGCAGUGGGCUCCCAGUUCCUCUCCGUCCGGCAACGCCAUCGCCCCCUUCUCGUUCCCGGUGUGGGUCCCCUUGUGUCCUGGUACUGGGUGGGCACUCAGUGCAGGUCGAAGGACCGAGGGGUGCAGUUAGGUCACCCUGUGUGUACAAGAGGCCCGAGCUGACCCGACCCACGUCUCCUUGUAGACAUUGACAAGGUCAUGAUCAACCUCAAGACGGAGGAAUUUGUGCUG